Molecule: long non-coding RNA, 1445 nt
Organism: Lynx canadensis (Canada lynx)
Lineage: Eukaryota; Metazoa; Chordata; Mammalia; Carnivora; Felidae
Exons: 4
Source: RefSeq, a predicted model, not a curated record
GGGCGCUUCCUGCUUUGUCACUGGGAAACUGUCUUUAACUUUCACAUUCUACCAAAAGCUUUGAUGUUGGAAAUCCUACCGAUAAGAAUGAAACCUUCUGGAGGAUCCCCACUAGUUUGACCCAGAGAAGCAGCUUGAUUUCCGAACUAGAUGCUAAACUUCAGCAGGACCUACAGGACUCGGGUGUCCCCCGUCCCGGCAGGUGGCAGAGCUAGGGAGCCACGCCACACCCCGCAAGCACAUUCGGAGCCCUGGAGCAUUUCCCCGACCUUCCGCUGGCCAGGCCCAGAGAUGGAGAAAACCAGGAGUGAAAUAGAACAGGAAGGACCGUCAAGUAGAAGCAACUGGGACGCAGAGUCGGGGAGUGAUUGGAGGGCCCGCGUUCCACCCGCGCGGUCCUCACCGGGUGCGGAAAAAUCGAUUCCACGGAUCAGGUUGACAGCAGGUGUUCCCAGACGACCGGUUCUAGUAGGCGACCUUAGCUCACCCGCUCCACACAUGGGCCGGCCUUUCCAGACCGGGGCGGUCGCAUCGCCAGGCCGUCCAUCCUUGGCUCUCUGUGAUUCCCUACCACUGCGAGGCACAGGAGAGGUCAAUUCCUUUCCAGACGCGAGAAAACCUGAACGUUUUUGUUUGUCAGAUUGAGUCUGUAGGGAGUGAACCACCAAUUCGGAGAAAGUCUUCGGGGCUGGAAGUUCCGCGAACCCUCUGAAAGUCAAUGUAAAGUACAUGUGCGGGAAUGUGCGUUUUCCUCUCACCUGGGGCUCAAGACUUCCGUCCCCCUCCCCCCCCCCUAAAGAUUAUGAACCAUCACACCACAGCACAGGGGAAAGUGCAAGCACGUUUCCUUCAUCAGAGUCUAUUAUUUUGUAUAACUUAGAAUGGCUUUAAGACACGACAGUGGGAUACAGGCAGGCAUUCUGUUCCAGAUCUAACAUACACAUUCACACAAUACACAAUAUCAGGUGUCACAUCGAAUCGCGCCUUUGUGCCCCGGAGAAGCAUACCCACAAUAAGCUUUUCCAUUUCUUCUUCACCCUUCUGUUGGGCGUUAGUUCAGGCCCAGGGCUAGUGAAUUACAAAAGACAAAUCAUUACUACUCUAAAGAGAAAAAAGAGAACCCAUUUUCCAAUGGUACAGGUUGCAGGGGCAGCGGAAGGAAUGGGCAAACCAGACAGAAACUGAAGGUUAAUUAUGAAGGGGGAUAUUCCCAGAGCAGAGUGGCGCAGCGGGAGCGUGCUGGGCCCAUAACCCAGAGGUCGAUGGAUCGAAACCAUCCUCUGCUAAGUACAGUCCUUUUCGUCCCAAAGCACGAAAAGCUCAGCGAGCUCAGCGAGAGGGAAAGAAGAGAUUGUUAAUUCUUGUUUCAAAUCUAGUGCGAUGUUUGACUCUUUAAAUUAUAUGCAUGUAGAAAGGAGGACAGAAAUAAAAACCUAACAAAAUUU